UCUCCAUGAUGAGGGCACUUUCAUAAUAACUCUUUGUACCUUUCGCAUGCUUUAUACAGGGACUCAUCAUCCAUUUGUUGAAGGAAGUGAUCUCAUUCCUCAACUU
Molecule: small nucleolar RNA, 106 nt
Filed under: Gossypium hirsutum (cotton)
Lineage: Eukaryota; Viridiplantae; Streptophyta; Magnoliopsida; Malvales; Malvaceae
Description: Plant small nucleolar RNA R71
Rfam family: Plant small nucleolar RNA R71
About the family: R71 is a member of the C/D box family of snoRNAs containing the C (UGAUGA) and D (CUGA) box motifs. Multiple nearly identical copies of this snoRNA have been identified in Arabidopsis, and it is thought to function as a 2'-O-ribose methylation guide for 18S ribosomal RNA.
Source: Rfam by way of RNAcentral